AUUGCAGGCUGCAACUCGCCUGCAUGAAGUCGGAAUUGCUAGUAAUCGCAGAUCAGCAUGCUGCGGCGAAUACGUUCCCGGGCCUUGUACACACCGCCCGUCAAGCCAUGAAAGCCGGGGGGCGCCUGAAGUCCGUGACCGCGAGGGUCGGCCUAGGGUGAAACCGGGGAUUGGGGCUAAGUCGUAACAAGGUAAC
RNAcentral lists this ribosomal RNA (196 nucleotides) under uncultured bacterium. RNAcentral describes it as "partial 16S ribosomal RNA". It matches the Rfam family "Bacterial small subunit ribosomal RNA", at positions 1297 to 1500 of the family's 1533-position model. The record is from RNAcentral.